GGACUACCGGGGUUUCUAAUCCUGUUUGCUCCCCACGCUUUCGUGUUUCAACGUCAGAAAUGGACCAAGAAGCUGCCUUCGCCAUUGGUGUUCCUCUCGAGAUCUACGCAUUUUACCGCUACUCCGAGAAUUCCGCUUCUCUCUUCCACCCUCGAGCUCACCAGUUUCUACUGCUGGCCCCCGGUUAGGCCGGGGAAUUUAACAGUUGACUUAAUAAGCCGUCUACACACCCUUUACGCCCAAUGAUUCCGAAUAACGCUUGCACCACUCGUAUUACCGCGGCGGCUGGCAC
RNAcentral lists this ribosomal RNA (292 nucleotides) under uncultured bacterium. RNAcentral's name for it is "partial 16S ribosomal RNA". The record is from RNAcentral.